CCUACGGGAGGCAGCAGUGGGGAAUAUUGGACAAUGGGCGAAAGCCUGAUCCAGCCAUGCCGCGUGAGUGAUGAAGGCCCUAGGGUUGUAAAGCUCUUUCAACGGUGAAGAUAAUGACGGUAACCGUAGAAGAAGCCCCGGCUAACUUCGUGCCAGCAGCCGCGGUAAUACGAAGGGGGCUAGCGUUGUUCGGAAUUACUGGGCGUAAAGCGCACGUAGGCGGAUACUUAAGUCAGGGGUGAAAUCCCGGGGCUCAACCCCGGAACUGCCUUUGAUACUGGGUAUCUGGAGUCCGGAAGAGGUGAGUGGAAUUCCGAGUGUAGAGGUGAAAUUCGUAGAUAUUCGGAGGAACACCAGUGGCGAAGGCGGCUCACUGGUCCGGUACUGACGCUGAGGUGCGAAAGCGUGGGGAGCAAACAGGAUUAGAUACCCUAGUAGUC
RNAcentral lists this ribosomal RNA (440 nucleotides) under uncultured bacterium. RNAcentral describes it as "bacterial SSU rRNA". It matches the Rfam family "Bacterial small subunit ribosomal RNA", at positions 338 to 795 of the family's 1533-position model. The record is from RNAcentral.